AUUGAACGCUGGCGGCAUGCUUUACACAUGCAAGUCGAACGGCAGCGCGGGCUUCGGCCUGGCGGCGAGUGGCGAACGGGUGAGUAAUGCAUCGGAACGUGCCCAGUAGUGGGGGAUAGCACGGCGAAAGCCGGAUUAAUACCGCAUACGACCUGAGGGUGAAAGCGGGGGACCGAAAGGCCUCGCGCUAUUGGAGCGGCCGAUGUCGGGCUAGCCAGUUGGUGGGGUAAAGGCUUACCAAGGCGACGAUCCGUAGCUGGUCUGAGAGGUCGACCAGCCGCACUGGGACUGAGACACGGCCCAGAGUCCUACGGGAGGCAGCAGUGGGGAAUGUUGGACAAUGGGGGCAACCCUGAUCCAGCCAGGCCGCGUGCGGGAAGAAGGCCUUCGGGUUGUAAAGCGCUUUUGUUCGGGAAGAAAUGCUCUGGGCUAAUACCCCGGGGGGAUGACGGUACCGGAAGAAUAAGCACCGGCUAACUACGUG
This 484-nucleotide ribosomal RNA is filed under the name uncultured bacterium. RNAcentral describes it as "partial 16S ribosomal RNA". It matches the Rfam family "Bacterial small subunit ribosomal RNA", at positions 28 to 507 of the family's 1533-position model. The record is from RNAcentral.